RNAcentral lists this transfer RNA (70 nucleotides) under Marmota monax (woodchuck). RNAcentral's name for it is "tRNA.Ala". The record is from RNAcentral. Lineage: Eukaryota; Metazoa; Chordata; Mammalia; Rodentia; Sciuridae.
GGGUGUAGUUCAGUGGUAGAGCACUUGCCUAGCAUGUGUGCAGCCCCUGGGUUCAAUCCCCAGCACUGCA